GGAAUGCAGCAGAGCCAGCCAAUAAUAGAAUCCAGCUGUCCUGGAUCCCAAUUCAGUUCCUCACCCAGUUUGGGGCAGGAGAGUAGGAAAGAUCUGUCCUGGAAUAUGCAAUUAUUUUGAUGUGGCCUUCAGGGGAACCCCCUACACACCAGCGAAGUGCCUCUAGCAGAUAAGAAAACAAAGAGAAAGGAGGACAUGUUUUGAGAGCUCUGGUCCUGAAACAACACCUCCGGUUCCUGAUACUAUAAAGAAGAUGGAAAGCAGAAACACAUCAAUCAUUCAACAAAGAGGCUUGUCAAGGAGGAGGCACUUUCCUUUUGUAGGAUUUUCUUCUCAGCUGCCGCCCACAUGCAGCAUAUCAGAAGAUAUUGCUGCAAAAUCUCAGAUAUCCAUCAGAUUUUUUGUCUGUGCUCUCUCCAUAAUUAGUGCCUACGCUUAAUUUAUUUGUCGAGUGCCCAUUCGGGGAAUGGAUGUGAGUG
Mauremys reevesii (Reeves's turtle) is the source of this 479-nucleotide long non-coding RNA. RefSeq lists it as uncharacterized. Lineage: Eukaryota; Metazoa; Chordata; Testudines; Geoemydidae. The record is from RefSeq and is a predicted model, not a curated record. The transcript has 3 exons.